This is a long non-coding RNA of Manis pentadactyla (Chinese pangolin), 5905 nucleotides long. RefSeq lists it as uncharacterized. The transcript is spliced from 4 exons. The record is from RefSeq and is a predicted model, not a curated record. NCBI's taxonomy places the organism in Eukaryota, Metazoa, Chordata, Mammalia, Pholidota, Manidae.
AGAGGACAAUUUUGCUGCCUAGUGGGCAAUGUCACCCGUUGGCAAUGUUCAUAGAGACCCUGGGGGCUCCUGCUUCUAUUCAGUAGUUGAUGGAAAGGAUGCUUGUUGAUAUGAAAUGUCUGGAGGCCCUAAUUUCCUUGGAUAAAAUUGUAUUUUACAAAAUUUUGGAGGCACAUGAAUUCUGAUUCUCAAAGUUCAGAACAACCUGGAAGAAUCAAGGUUGACCUUGUUGUUUUUCAAAUACAGAUUCCAUUAGAUAUAUAGCAGCAUAACAGGAUAAGGGCAGAUCCUGAAUAGGUAUUUCCUAGCAUCUGUUGGCCAUUUCCCACAAAUCUUAGAGAACCAAAGACCUAUAGGCUUAGUGGAUAUUACAGGAUAUUUGAAGAUUUGAAGAUAACCAUACCAUUAGAGAUAUAAGGCCAGAAGAGGUAUUCUUGGACAAAAGAGAAGGUAGGGCCCUUCAUUUUUUUUUUUGACCACUUUGGAAACUGGUAAAUAAAGACCUGUAAGCAGAGCCCAAGGCCGUAGUGACUUGUUUCAGCCAGCUUCUUGCACUAAGACUAGCUGAUUGCACUUGGUUUAAAUCCUUUAGUUGGAACACACUAACUCUUGUAUGGGUGCUUGAGAGCUGUGCUAUGUCAGGGGGAUGCCAGGAACAUAUCUCAGGCUUCUGCCAGCAGAAUUUAGCUAUGCAAGAUCCAAUAUCCUAUUUGCAGAUCAGAACUUUUGGGCUUAAGCUAGGCAGUGAGACACAGUUCUAGGAGGGGUACAUGUGAAGUACUCGGUUGAUCACAAAAACCCUCUCACCCGUGGGCUUCUCAGUGCCAAGACAGAUAUGAAAGUAGGAGCAGAGGGUAGUCUAGAUUGAUUCUAUUUUCAGGAGUGAUGUCUCUCUUGGAGCUUCCCCUACAGGAUGCCACCUCUCUUGAGGGAAUCAGAGUCAUAUGAAAUUCCCAGGGACUAGAGAACAUCUGUAUGUAGCUUUUAUGCCAGGAAGCACAGCUUUCCAAGAUGGAGCCGAUAGUGGUUCUCACCUUUGUGGCUCUGGUAAAUUUAACUCCUCCAGCAGAGAGAGACCAAAGCAAGCUCAGAAUAGGGGAUGGUCAAGGAAAGAAACCCAGGAUCUCCUGUUGGACCAGACUAGAGUUUUCUCUGAGUGGAUCUGAAUUUUUCAUUGAGAUUGGCACAAAUCAGAACUAAACAGUGCCUUAUGAAAAUGCGCAAGGCACUCUUCCCCAAGCUAUUGUUGUAUGGAUGUGAGAGCCUUAUAAAGCUUUGGAUGGAAUAUAUGAAUGUCAGAGAGCUUUAUACUGUCUGGAACUCUGUAAUUAGAGGGCAGUAUGCUGGUGGACUGUUCCACUUACAAGUCCCACCCCAACAGUUUUGGUGGUACUUAAAAUAAUAAAUUAAAAAAUUCAGUUCUUGAAACUAAAAUCUUAAAAAUUUAUGUGGUCCAUACCUAUUAGUAUUAUCCCCAGAUCUCUUCCUUGUUUUCUCCUGGGAGUCACUGAGGGGUCUCCACUGUUUUUCAGGUAAACGUUACAGCCAUUUAUUUCUUGAUAUCUAGUUCCGUGCUCUCCACCCUUGCGUACUUAUCUUCCAUCCCCAUCAACUUUCGCUUUACAGAUCCCUUCAUCUGAUCAGUGAGUUUCUUGUCAAACAUCUUUCAAAAACUCCUAGGAUGAAGUCCUAAGGUUGGUGUUUUCCAAAACUCUGGAAAUGAUUCCAAUGUGGACCCACAGUUGAGAAGACCCAUGCUGAACCAUGGCGAGCCGUGAGCCCUUGCUGAGCAUCUAUGUAUAGCCAGGUCGGCCCACGCAAUCGUGGCGCAGGAGUAGCACAAGGACGCGCCAGUUGAGUCAUUCACCCUUUCUCACUCAAUGCUUCUUGCCUCCUUUGCUGCCUCCCACUCUCUCUGAGGCAGAGAUCCUGUCACGGAAGUGACUUCUGAGUGCACAGAUGCUUUCUGCUUCCUUUAAGAACUCCUCUGCAAAUUUCUUGGGAGUUUGCAUUCCAAUCAUUAUCAUUCAUUCAGAAAAUGUAAAUCACCCUUUUUGCUUUGACUUAAUCAUUUCCCAUUCUCCCAAGGUUAUUCAGAAAUUCAGAGCUCGAUGACAAUAAGUGAGCCAGUGCGUGGGCCUGUAGACACACCUCACUGUUCCAUUAAAGGCAAACACACACCUUGAAAGAAAUUGCACAUUUGUUUUCAAAGCAUUUGUUUGGAACAUUCUGUUGCCUCGUGGAAACCAUGACAAUUAUGCCCAGGACAUGAAGUGCACCUGUACAUAGAGCCCCUCCAAGUUUAAUGUCUGCUAACCCAUUGACACACAGAUAUGAGGAGUUCUGGGAGCUGAUCUUCAGGGAUUACACACUUGUUCCCAGCAUGUACAACAGCCCCUAAGAAUAUGAACCAUCCUGAAAACCCUUCUCUGACGUUACCUAGUAUUAUGGAUGGAAUGUUUGUGUCCCCACCAAAAUUCAUAUGUUGAAACCCUACCGCACAAUGUGAUAUUAGAAGGUGAGGCCUCUGGAAAGUAAUUAGCUGAGGUCGUGAGGACAGAGCCUCGUGAGUGGGAUCGGUGCCCUUAGAAGAGCCACAAGAGAGCUCACUGCUCUCUGCCACGUGAGGAGGCAGUGAAAGCUGGCAGUCUGCACCUCACAGAAGGACUCACCAGAGCCCAGCCGUGCUGGCACACCGAUCUCAGACUCUGGCCACCAGGACUGCGAGGAAUAAAUUUCUGUUGUUUAUAAGCCACCCAGACUAUUGUAUUUGUUAUAGCAGCCCAGCUGGACUAAGACACCCUAGUUGGCCUUGACCCAGACAAAUGUUCCUAAAGAUGAACAUUGAGAAAUUCCUUGCAAAAAUUUUACUGUGAGAAAUGGUCUUUUUUUUUUAAAUUUGUGUAAAACUGGAAACUCUAAAUAUCCCACAUGGAGUGGUUUAAUCAAACCUCUCUAUAUAAUAAAUUAUGCAUUCAUUAUAAUGAUAUAGAAGAACAUGUGAUAAUAUUUAAAAGUCUAUAAUAAGGAACUAAGAGAAAAAAAUUAAUUCUCAAACAUGUACAGCAGACAUUUAAAAUGUGUGCACACAUGCACACAUCCAAUGUAUGUAGAGUGCAUACGGAAGAGUCCAGAAAAAUCAACAAGAUGUUAACAGUCUAAGGAGGUUGGAUAUCUGGAUUAACUUCAUACUUUUGACUUUUAUUUUCUAUUCGACAAGGAACAUAUAUUAUUUGGGUAAUACGGAAAAAACCCAGGAUUGGUUAUAUACAAAAUAAACAAUUCCAAGCUUUGGAAUUGAGAGACCAGUGGGGGAGUUUUGAGGCGAAGGAUUCUUUGAGGACACUGUCAGCACAGCUAUGGAAGAAAAGCAUGGGGCCCAGAACUCUGCCCCACUGAGGCCCUUAUCUAAGAUGACUCAGGUCCUUGUCUGAGAUUGCUGUUCACCCAGCUCUAUGAUGCUUGCUUAUCGGAUAAGGCCUGAGUCAGAGAUGGAGAGGGUGUUUGCCUCUGAUGUCUGUGUGGAGGAAGAAAUAACACCAAAACCUUAUAAAUUUGCAGUCUCAAUCCAAUGGGUGCCCUAGCAAAGUAACAAUUCUGUUAAAGGAAGAGGGUCCCUAGAACAGAACAGAGCCUUUGAUAUGGGCUGGGUAAGAAUCACACAGUGAGAUCUGUGGUUAUUGGCACAGAAAUAUACACAGUUCAUCUUGAAAAAUCUCACCCCCUCCCCAGAGGUAUCUAAUAGACUUUAUGAAUGCAUUUUUUUCUACUCAGUAUAGUCAGCCAAUGUGUAAUAAGUAAGUGCUGAAGGUCACACUUAUUGGACUUGGAAAUGAUGCACAUCUCCUCAUUUGAAUGGUUGAUUUAAUAUUGUUAUUUCUACCCUGUAUCAUUGAGUUAGAGCUCAAGUCUAAUGAAGCCUCAGGAGCUGUUUUUAUUCCCAAAUAUGGUUGUCAUCUUAAGAUAGAAUUUUCUCCACUGCCACAAAACUCUUCCUCUAAGCCCUUAAUCUAAAUAUGUCACAAGGUGCCUAUAUAACACAAGGACAUCAUAACUCCUGGGAAGUUAUGGGAGCAAACGCUUCAUGUCCUGAGGAAUGCUGCUUCUGUGACAACCUUCUGACUGAGAUCAGCAGGCAAAUGUUAUCUCCGCAACAUCAUAGAAGCAUCUUCAAAUUGAGGGACAUCAAACAACAUAUUAAAAAUAAAAGGGAAACAACAAACAAAUCCUUGUCCCACUGAGACAGUAGCCCUCCAUUCCUAUAAACAGGAAAUCAUUGGCCAUUUGUUGCAGGGGUGGCCAGAGGAGGCCAGGAGUGAGCUUCAUUUGGCAAAAAGUGAUGCAGAACAGGGAUUUGCCAGACAGAGCCAGAAGAAAGAGGACAGGCAAUGGGCAUACCCAGAAGAUGACACCAGCAGGAAAGGGGGAAAUUUUUCUGCCCUUCCUUAGAAUAGUACUGUUGUCAGGCAGCUGCAUCUGUGGAGGUCGCUCACUCUGCUCUAGGUGAAACCUCGACCUGGAUGGUGGAGGGUUCUUGACUCUGAGAAAAAAUUCUCAAACAGGUCUGAUGAGUGUAGGCAAGGAAGGAAUUCAUUAAAGCAAGAGUAGUAGUGCAUGGCUGCAACUAUGCAGGCAGUACAGAGCCAGGAAGAGCAGAGGGAGGAAAGGAAAGUUGAUUAAACUCCUCCUCGGCACAGGGCAGAUCUCUUCCCAACUCCUGAAGCCAGGGUCAUCUAGCAUCCGUGUUCACUUGAAUCUGCCCAGCAUGGGAACUAAACCCCUACCUACCACCCCAGGAUUUGGAGGAGCCGUAGAGCACUGGAUGGAGUGAGUUUAUAUUUUGAGAAUUUCCCAAAACAAAGAAAUAUUUUUGGGGAAGCUACUAAAGAGCAUGAUCUUACAGCUGCUGUCCUGCCCAAGUCACCCAGGUGACAGAAACCUGAAGCCCAAAUCAGAGACCUCAGUAGCCCUUCUCUACUUUUCUGAAGUAGGACAGCAAGUGAAGACUUCUGCUUAAAUUCUAGAAAAUGGAAUGAAAUAGCAAAGUUACAAAGAUGCUUACCACUGCAAGAGCACAGAGACUAAACACAGUAAGUUGAGCAGUGAGAAGUCUUUAUUUAAGGCAAAGUACACACUUGAAGAUAGGGGAAUGCAGGCAACCUGAGAAAAGAGGUGUGCUUAAGGGCUUAGGAUUCUGUCUUUUAAGGUUUUCAAAAAUGGGGUAACGGGUUAGAAGGGCAUAGGCUUGACAUGGUGUCUCAUGAUGUGUAUCUCCAGUAAGAGACAUCAUGUCACUAUCCACAGUCAGUCCUCUAGAUAUUCUGUAAGAUAAACUUAACACAAGAAAUUUGUUGAUCCUGUUCUUCUCCAAGAUAGUGGUUACCCUCAAGCAGUGGGAACAUAUCAUUUAGAACUGCUUACCCUGCCUUAACAUAGGGUCGAUUAUUGGUUGACUACCAUAAAAUAUGUUAGGAAUCUUACCUCCUAACUUCCUGGUUUUUAAAAUGGAAUCUUAGCCUUAAGAUGGAGUCCCUCCUGUUCUUACUAUACUAUUUAUAUCUUGGCAUCUUUAUCAUAGGCAGGAAAAAUUAAUCAUGAUGCUUGUCCCAUGUCCCUGCCCCACCUCAGUAGCAUUCCUCUUUCUCUCCUCUGUGUUCCCCAUAACUCUUGUUUUAUUCUAUCAAAGUACUUGUCACCCCAUGUUAUUCUGGCCUAUUUGUCUACAUCCCUUUGUAAACUUCAAGCUUCAUGUGGGCUGGAGCCAAGUAUCCUUGUCCAUAAUGGUGAAUAGGCUGCUGUCCCCAAGCCUGACAUGCUGUAGGCUCCUAGUACAUGCUUAAUAAACAUGUCAUCAGUAUGAGAAAAUGAAUGAUGUAUGCAAAGAUUUACCAUGAAGAAGAAAUGA